UACUUGUACUGAUUGAGAUUUUAACACGAAGUGAGUGGCGAACGGGUGAGUAACACGUGGGUAACCUGCCCAGAAGUAGGGGAUAACACCUGGAAACAGAUGCUAAUACCGUAUAACAGAGAAAACCGCAUGGUUUUCUUUUAAAAGAUGGCUCUGCUAUCACUUCUGGAUGGACCCGCGGCGUAUUAGCUAGUUGGUGAGGUAAAGGCUCACCAAGGCAGUGAUACGUAGCCGACCUGAGAGGGUAAUCGGCCACAUUGGGACUGAGACACGGCCCAGACUCCUACGGGAGGCAGCAGUAGGGAAUCUUCCACAAUGGACGCAAGUCUGAUGGAGCAACGCCGCGUGAGUGAAGAAGGGUUUCGGCUCGUAAAGCUCUGUUGUUAAAGAAGAACGUGGGUAAGAGUAACUGUUUACCCAGUGACGGUAUUUAACCAGAAAGCCACGGCUAACUACGUGCCAGCAGCCGCGGUAAUACGUAGGUGGCAAGCGUUAUCCGGAUUUAUUGGGCGUAAAGCGAGCGCAGGCGGUCUUUUAAGUCUAAUGUGAAAGCCUUCGGCUCAACCGAAGAAGUGCAUUGGAAACUGGGAGACUUGAGUGCAGAAGAGGACAGUGGAACUCCAUGUGUAGCGGUGAAAUGCGUAGAUAUAUGGAAGAACACCAGUGGCGAAGGCGGCUGUCUGGUCUGCAACUGACGCUGAGGCUCGAAAGCAUGGGUAGCGAACAGGAUUAGAUACCCUGGUAGUCCAUGCCGUAAACGAUGAUUACUAAGUGUUGGAGGGUUUCCGCCCUUCAGUGCUGCAGCUAACGCAUUAAGUAAUCCGCCUGGGGAGUACGACCGCAAGGUUGAAACUCAAAAGAAUUGACGGGGGCCCGCACAAGCGGUGGAGCAUGUGGUUUAAUUCGAAGCUACGCGAAGAACCUUACCAGGUCUUGACAUCUUCUGACAGUCUAAGAGAUUAGAGGUUCCCUUCGGGGACAGAAUGACAGGUGGUGCAUGGUUGUCGUCAGCUCGUGUCGUGAGAUGUUGGGUUAAGUCCCGCAACGAGCGCAACCCUUAUUACUAGUUGCCAGCAUUAAGUUGGGCACUCUAGUGAGACUGCCGGUGACAAACCGGAGGAAGGUGGGG
RNAcentral lists this ribosomal RNA (1129 nucleotides) under Pediococcus pentosaceus. RNAcentral describes it as "bacterial SSU rRNA". It matches the Rfam family "Bacterial small subunit ribosomal RNA", at positions 65 to 1178 of the family's 1533-position model. Lineage: Bacteria; Bacillati; Bacillota; Bacilli; Lactobacillales; Lactobacillaceae. The record is from RNAcentral.